This 1220-nucleotide long non-coding RNA is filed under the name Homo sapiens (human). RNAcentral describes it as "long independently transcribed non-coding RNA 2359, transcript variant 10 (LINC02359)". Lineage: Eukaryota; Metazoa; Chordata; Mammalia; Primates; Hominidae. The record is from RNAcentral.
ACAGUACAUCACCUUCAUGAGCGCAUCAGUGAACACCAGUCUAAGGAAGACAUCUCUGAACGUAAUUUUGGAGAUUUUGAUGAGUUCCAUUGAAACAAGGAGGAAUGUGAUGUCCAGUAUCAGUUCUGCAGACCCAAGGACAAAGAAAAUUCUGUGAUAAACUCAUCCAGUGUGACUGUAAUGUGGGUAUCUAUUUGAUACCUCCAAGUAACUGUUUAUUCUUGUGCCAGUUGAGUAGAUGGUACGGGCCAGUUGGUGUUGAUUAGUGAACCACGGACAAAGGGCAUAUGUCACAUGAGUUGCUCCUGGAUAAAGUCACCCAGUCACUUCCUGAUGAAUAUCCUGCAUAAACUCCAAAGACAAAAGAGAGUUAAGGUUGUUUUUCUCACCUUAGACCAGGCAGUGAUAGAAGAACUGGGGGAAGAGAUAAUUGUAUUUAUCUUGGUGAGGGUGACAAAUCAUGGCAAAUGAGCAAAAUGAAAAAGGUUUGCAGAUUUCAACAAACUUCUAAAAGAUCAGCUUACAGUCAUGUAUACAUCUCUUCCUUUGUUUCUAGUUUAUUUGCAUCUCAUUACUAUGUUCUCGGUUUAGGAUACAAGACACCGGACUUUCAAAUCAACAAUUGUUUCAAAAGACUCCUACUGGAUUCCUGCUAGUGAUGGGAGAAAAUUAUCAUUCUGUGAGUUGUCAAUAAAUGUUUAACCACAGUUCACCUUUUUUGGAUUUUAAGAUGUCUGCGCCACUAGGACGCUCAGAAAAAUUACCCUCCAAAUGCUACUUGGAGGAGGAUUCAGUACCACCCUGAGAAGGCAACCAGCUACAACCUUGGUUGUAGUUUCGGUUGCAGAAAGAGCGUGAAGUGUGCAACUCAUGUCUGUCUUCAUUUUAAUAGGCUAGUUAAUCUGUAGCCAGAGAUGAUUAAGGAGGUCAUUAAAGGAAAACAAGCUGCCCACCAUGCUGAUGCCUGGUUGUUCAGAUCGUUGAGGUGGUGUAGAGAUGACGCACACUGGCUCAGUUUACCCACAUUUGGAUCUACGGACCUGCAAGUCCUCUGUCAUGACACACCAGCCCUGGGAUAUCACAUAAGCUACAGGUCAGACGCUGCUUUCCAGACAGAAUUAUGGAGAAGACAACCAUCAUUUUGGCCCUGCUGGAAAUUUUCCAUGCUCUUCAUUCGUUCUCCUGUAUUUCCUAACGCCAAUAAAAGAGGAGAUCCCUGA